GUGCCGGCCCUUCGCGGCGCGCAGCCGUAAACCCCGCCAGGUCCGGAAGGAAGCAACGGUAGCGGCAGGCGCGUGCGCCGGAGUUCCGCUGG
This 92-nucleotide signal recognition particle RNA is filed under the name Hydrocarboniphaga effusa. Its description in RNAcentral is "signal recognition particle sRNA small type". It matches the Rfam family "Bacterial small signal recognition particle RNA". Rfam says of the family: The signal recognition particle (SRP) is a universally conserved ribonucleoprotein involved in the co-translational targeting of proteins to membranes. Archaeal SRP consists of a 7S RNA and homologues of the eukaryotic SRP19 and SRP54 proteins. Lineage: Bacteria; Pseudomonadati; Pseudomonadota; Gammaproteobacteria; Nevskiales; Nevskiaceae. The record is from RNAcentral.